RNAcentral lists this ribosomal RNA (274 nucleotides) under uncultured bacterium. Its description in RNAcentral is "partial 16S ribosomal RNA". It matches the Rfam family "Bacterial small subunit ribosomal RNA", at positions 523 to 796 of the family's 1533-position model. The record is from RNAcentral.
AUACGGAGGGUGCAAACGUUGCUCGGAAUUAUUGGGCGUAAAGCGCGUGUAGGCGGUCGGCUAAGUCGGAUGUGAAAGCCCCGGGCUCAACCCGGGAAGUGCGUCCGAUACUGGCAGACUUGAGUACGGGAGAGGGUAGCGGAAUUCCCGGUGUAGAGGUGAAAUUCGUAGAUAUUGGGAAGAACACCGGUGGCGAAGGCGGCUACCUGGACCGGUUCUGACGCUGAGGUGCGAAAGCGUGGGGAGCAAACAGGAUUAGAAACCCGAGUAGUCC